Molecule: ribosomal RNA, 1485 nt
Filed under: metagenome
Description: bacterial SSU rRNA
Rfam family: Bacterial small subunit ribosomal RNA
Source: RNAcentral
AGAGUUUGAUCCUGGCUCAGGACUAACGCUGGCGGCGUGCCUAACACAUGCAAGUCGAACGGAAAGACUCUGAAAAGCUUGCUUUUCGGAAGUACUCGAGUGGCGGACGGGUGAGUAAUACUUAAAUAAUCUACCCUCUAGACGGGGACAACCUAGGGAAACUUGGGCUAAUACCGGAUAAGAUCUUUGGAUCGCAUGGUCUAAAGAUGAAAUCAUGCAAAUGGCUGGAGGAUGAGUUUGAGUCCGAUUAGUUUGUUGGUAGGGUAAUGGCCUACCAAGACUACAAUCGGUAGCUGGUUUGAGAGGAUGAACAGCCACACUGGGACUGAGAUACGGCCCAGACUCCUACGGGAGGCAGCAGUGAGGAAUUUUGCGCAAUGGGCGAAAGCCUGACGCAGCGACGCCGCGUGAAUGAUGAAGUCCUUCGGGAUGUAAAGUUCUGUCAGUGGGGACAAUGAUGAUGGUACCCACAGAGGAAGCACCGGCUAACUAUGUGCCAGCAGCCGCGGUAAUACAUAGGGUGCAAGCGUUGUCCGGAUUUAUUGGGCGUAAAGUGUUCGCAGGUGGUAAUUUAAGUCAAAUUUUAAAGACUGAGGCUUAACCUUGGUUCGAAUUUGAUACUGAAUUGCUUGAGAUCGGGAGAGGAAGGCGGAACUCACAGUGUAGCGGUGAAAUGCGUAGAUAUUGUGAGGAACACCGGUGGCGAAGGCGGCCUUCUGGACCGAAUCUGACACUCAGGAACGAAAGCGUGGGUAGCAAACAGGAUUAGAUACCCUGGUAGUCCACGCUGUAAACGAUGUACAUUAGGUGUAGAGGGUAUCGACCCCUUCUGUGCCGUAGCUAACGCGUUAAAUGUACCGUCUGGGGAGUACGGUCGCAAGACUAAAACUCAAAGGAAUUGACGGGGGCCCGCACAAGCAGUGGAUCAUGUGGUUUAAUUCGACGAUACGCGAAGAACCUUACCAGAACUUGACAUCUAGGGAAGGUCAUAGAAGUAUGACUGUGCCUUUUUGGAACCCUAUGACAGGUGGUGCAUGGUUGUCGUCAGUUCGUGCCGUGAGGUGUUGGGUUAAGUCCCGCAACGAGCGCAACCCUCGUCCUGUGUUACUACAUUUAGUUGAGGACUCUCAGGAGACUGCCCGUGGAAAACGGGAGGAAGGUGGGGAUGACGUCAAAUCAUCAUGCCCCUUACGUUCUGGGCUACACACAUGAUACAAUGGCCGGUACAAAGGGCAGCGAAACCGCGAGGUGAAGCUAAUCUCAUAAAACCGGUCUCAGUUCGGAUUGUAGGCUGCAACUCGCCUGCAUGAAGCUGGAAUUGCUAGUAAACGCGAAUCAGCACGUCGCGUUGAAUACGUUCCCGGGCCUUGUACACACCGCCCGUCACACCAUGAGAGCCGGAAAUACCCGAAGUCAGUAAGCCAACCGCAAGGAGGCAGCUGCCUAAGGUAGAGCCGGUGAUUGGGGUGAAGUCGUAACAAGGUA